Molecule: ribosomal RNA, 283 nt
Filed under: uncultured bacterium
Lineage: Bacteria
Description: partial 16S ribosomal RNA
Rfam family: Bacterial small subunit ribosomal RNA
Source: RNAcentral
UUCCUACGGGGGGCAGCAGUGAGGAAUAUUGGUCAAUGGCCGCAGGGCUGAACCAGCCAAGUCGCGUGAGGGAAGACGGUCCUAUGGAUUGUAAACCUCUUUUGUCAGGGAGUAAAUUGCUCCACGUGUGGCGUUUUGCGUGUAUCUGAAGAAAAAGCAUCGGCUAACUCCGUGCCAGCAGCCGCGGUAAUACGGAGGAUGCGAGCGUUAUCCGGAUUUAUUGGGUUUAAAGGGUGCGCAGGCGGAAUGUCAAGUCUGUGGUAAAAUUUAGGCGCUCAACCUC